RNAcentral lists this ribosomal RNA (467 nucleotides) under uncultured bacterium. RNAcentral describes it as "bacterial SSU rRNA". It matches the Rfam family "Bacterial small subunit ribosomal RNA", at positions 31 to 507 of the family's 1533-position model. The record is from RNAcentral.
GAACGCUGGCGGCGUGCUUAACACAUGCAAGUCGAACGGUGACGAAUGGAGCUUGCUCUGUUCUGAUCAGUGGCGAACGGGUGAGUAACACGUGAGUAACCUGCCCCUGACUCUGGAAUAACUUCGGGAAACCGAAGCUAAUACCGGAUAUGACACAGAGCCGCAUGGUUUCUGUGUGGAAAGUUUUUCGGUUGGGGAUGGACUCGCGGCCUAUCAGCUUGUUGGUGAGGUAAUGGCUCACCAAGGCGACGACGGGUAGCCGGCCUGAGAGGGCGACCGGCCACACUGGGACUGAGACACGGCCCAGACUCCUACGGGAGGCAGCAGUGGGGAAUAUUGCACAACGGGCGAAAGCCUGAUGCAGCGACGCCGCGUGAGGGAUGAAGGCCUUCGGGUUGUAAACCUCUUUCAGUAGGGAAGAAGCGCAAGUGACGGUACCUACAGAAGAAGCACCGGCUAACUACGUG